Molecule: ribosomal RNA, 442 nt
Filed under: uncultured bacterium
Lineage: Bacteria
Description: partial 16S ribosomal RNA
Rfam family: Bacterial small subunit ribosomal RNA
Source: RNAcentral
CUACGGGUUGCAGCAGUGGGGAAUAUUGGACAAUGGACCAAAAGUCUGAUCCAGCAAUUCUGUGUGUUUGAUGAAGGCCUUCGGGUUGUAAAGAACUUUAAGUAGGGAAGAAGAAAGUGACGGUACCUACAGAAUAAGCGACGGCUAAAUACGUGCCAGCAGCCGCGGUAAUACGUAUGUCGCAAGCGUUAUCCGGAAUUAUUGGGCAUAAAGCGCGUCUAGGCGGUUUACUAAGUCUGAUGUGAAAAUGCGGGGCUCAACUCCGUAUUGCGUUGGAAACUGGUAGACUAGAGUAUUGGAGAGGUAGGCGGAACUACAAGUGUAGAGGUGAAAUUCGUAGAUAUUUGUAGGAAUGCCAAUGACGAAGGUAGCUUACUGGACAAAUACUGACGCUGAAGCGCGAAAGCUAGGGGAGCAAACAGGAUUAGAUACCCGCGUAGUC